This 253-nucleotide ribosomal RNA is filed under the name uncultured bacterium. RNAcentral's name for it is "partial 16S ribosomal RNA". It matches the Rfam family "Bacterial small subunit ribosomal RNA", at positions 524 to 776 of the family's 1533-position model. The record is from RNAcentral.
UACGUAGGGUGCAGGCGUUAAUCGGAAUUACUGGGCGUAAAGCGUGCGCAGGCGGUUCCUUAAGUCAGAUGUGAAAUCCCCGGGCUUAACCUGGGAACUGCGUUUGAAACUGAGGAGCUCGAGUGUGGAAGAGGGGGGUGGAAUUCCAGGUGUAGCAGUGAAAUGCGUAGAGAUCUGGAGGAACACCGAUGGCGAAGGCAGGCCCCUGGGCUAACACUGACGCUCAUGCACGAAAGCGUGGGGAGCAAAAGGG